Molecule: long non-coding RNA, 787 nt
Organism: Tachysurus fulvidraco (yellow catfish)
Lineage: Eukaryota; Metazoa; Chordata; Actinopteri; Siluriformes; Bagridae
Exons: 2
Source: RefSeq, a predicted model, not a curated record
CCCUGAGCUGGGAAAUGAAACACCACAAACAUCACAGCGGUUCUGAGUCUAAUCUGUAAUCAAAACUUGACUUUAAAGCAAACAAUUCAAAAGUAUUUUAUGUUAAAAACAGAUUUAUGUCUCUCACCGAGCCGUUUGUGCGACAGGUUCUCGAUCGUCGGGGCUUUGACUUCAAAACACAUUUCAAUACGUUAAUAAAACUCCACUGCAAAAAAUAAACUGUGUGUGUGUGUGUGUGUGUGUGUGUGUGUGUGUGUGUGUGUGUGUGUGUGUGUGUGUGUGUGUGUGUGUGCUGUGCAGAGAGGAAGAAGGAAGAAGGAAGUGUAAAAGUGGUCAAAACAAAACGACUCAGAUUCUAAACGUGUGAGACAGAGAAGUGAUUCAGAUUAAAAUGAUGAUGGAUUUAUUUCAUGGUGAUUUGUGUAAAUAAUCUUGUUUUUACGCACUUGGACGAGCAGCUGAUGGAGAGCAGUGGAGCAGCAUGACAGCAGUGAGAUACACACAGCUCGAGCCCUUUGGGACCGGACGGGUGACUUAAAGGAAACGUAUGCAGUAAAGUUUAAUAAUAACAACAACAAUAAUGAAUCAAUAAACAAGCAAAAUAAAGCUUUACAGUGAAAUAACGAGUCACUUCUUCCGUAUUGACUUGAUUCAAUUUACCUGAGAAGGUACAGUCAUGGUAAUAAUAUCUGGAGCUCACACACACACACACACACACACACACACACACACACACACACACACACACACACACACACACACACACACACACACACACACACACACA